Transfer RNA from Gaeumannomyces graminis, 110 nucleotides. It matches the Rfam family "tRNA". From Rfam's summary of the family: Transfer RNA (tRNA) molecules are approximately 80 nucleotides in length. Their secondary structure includes four short double-helical elements and three loops (D, anti-codon, and T loops). Further hydrogen bonds mediate the characteristic L-shaped molecular structure. tRNAs have two regions of fundamental functional importance: the anti-codon, which is responsible for specific mRNA codon recognition, and the 3' end, to which the tRNAs corresponding amino acid is attached (by aminoacyl-tRNA synthetases). tRNAs cope with the degeneracy of the genetic code in two manners: having more than one tRNA (with a specific anti-codon) for a particular amino acid; and 'wobble' base-pairing, i.e. permitting non-standard base-pairing at the 3rd anti-codon position. The record is from Rfam. Lineage: Eukaryota; Fungi; Ascomycota; Sordariomycetes; Magnaporthales; Magnaporthaceae.
GGCUAGGUGGCCGAGUGGUUAAGGCGUAUGUUUCAAGAGAGAUCCCUCUCUUCCCCACAAGGGAUACACAUAUCUCGCAAGAGUCAUCAGUUCGAACCUGGUCCUAGUCA